Molecule: long non-coding RNA, 20820 nt
Filed under: Nicotiana benthamiana
Lineage: Eukaryota; Viridiplantae; Streptophyta; Magnoliopsida; Solanales; Solanaceae
Description: long non-coding RNA (NBEN_LNC027301)
Source: RNAcentral
CUCUUGCCUUUAAACUAACAAAAAUUCUAAGGCUUACCUACCCAGGUGUUCGGCCUAAAGCAUCCUCCUAGCGGAUAAUGUAAUAAAAGAACAAGAAAAAGAGCUGGGAGAGAUGAGUUAACAGUACGCAAUCUUUCAUUAAAAUUCCUAAUUUACUACUUUAUCCCACUACCCCCCACAAAACACACAUCAAAAUGACCCACUCCAGUUAUCUACACACACAAAGUAGGGAUUAACGUAGAAGGCAUAUAGGAGAGGAGGAAAAAUGUAGCAUUUGAUAAAACAGAAAUACCAUCCAAGUCCAGAAAUGACAAAUCAAAACAUAAUAAGAGCUAUUUAAAGUCUAUCUAACCAUUCCCAUUAAACUUAUUCUUAAUCCCAUACCAGUAAAAUAUUGAAACUCACUUCGAAUCCCAAGUAUGAUCUCAAGAUUAGCCGUAAGGACGUAUGCUCAAAUAAGGAACCUACACAUUCCAAAUAACUCGAAGGACUUCUAAGGAUUGCUAGGCUGCUAUGUCACCUUCUCGACAUACUGUAAAAGUCCCUGAAAUCUCCUACUCGACCCCUUCCCUUACGAAAAUCCACAGAGAUAUCAUAUGAAAGGACCGUAGUAUCUCAAAUAGUUUCAAAUCUUCAUGAAGGAAUAAGUCUGAUUGCAUGAAUGGACGACAAGAAUUUAACAGUUAGAAUAUUCACAAACCACACCCAUGCAUAGGAAACUGAAUUCGAACGGAAGUAAGCAGAUUCAACUAUGUAUUGAACGUUUUAGAACAUUUAGCUUCCUAUUCACAUGUUGCAAAACCAUGAGAUUAAAGCAACUAGUGUUUAUGUCGGGUACAAAAAUAAAAUUUACUCUCAAAGUUCAUCAUCUAAGAUUUCGUUCAAAAGGUCUUAUUUCAAUCACCUCACUCUGUCUAACCAAAUUGGCCAUGAGAAUGUAAUUUUUUUAGUACCUAACUUAGUUACCAGAUUAUCCUAAGUAAUGGCUUGUUAAUGUUAUUAAGCUGAUGAUUCAAUAUCAAAUAAAAAGUCCCAAAACAACAAAAAUAAUUAUCAGAAGUUUGGAUAAUGAAGAGUAUGACUAAGCCUCAAUGCACCAAGGACCCAAUUCAAGACUCUCGACAUGGGCAACACUGUGAAGAAGUUCCUUCAAAUAGUUACCCUCCUUCUCCAAGUCGUGAUUCCCAAAUUCAUCAGAGCGCAUAUUCAAACACGAUCCAUUUCAAAACUAAUCGUCAAGAAUAUAUGAACUAGUGAACAACCCACAGAUCAUGAAUAUAACAUUUAUGGCUCUUAUCAUAUUUUCAUUCACAAGAAACAGAUUAAAAGAGCUAGAAACGAACCUGAACAAACGCUAACUUUAAUUAAAUCUCGAAAUGAGUACAAGCAGAAGUCGAGCGAUGAACUUAACAGGGAUGGAACAGAACGAAUCCGGAACCACGAACUCUAACCAAAGACGGAAAAUAGAACUUCAAACGAGCACCACCUCGAUCAAACUCCAAUGUUGAAUCCCAAAUCCAAUUUUUUCUGAUUUUCGAACUGAUACGGAAUCUCCAACAAAAUGAAACUCAAGUUUGUUUUUGUAUUUUUUUCCUUUCGAAUUUUUGAAGCAGCGAGGAAAACGAAAACACUAAUGAUUUUUUUUCUGUUUUUAUUUUUCGUCGUGUAUCUGGAAACAAGAAAAUGAAGAUGGAAAAAUCUGAUGAAAACCUCAAGAACCCUAGUUUUUUUUUUCGAAAAAUCCAAUCCCUAACUUCUGUCUCCAAAAACCUCUCAAAUAUAUAUUACACCCUAGAAGCUUCUUCCCUCUUCUCCAAGAGAUUCCUGAACCGUGUGGACCCCAACAAUAAAAAAUCUGAAAAUCAUUUUCACAAAUAAAAAAAUCAGAAAAAUAGAGAUUUAUGGAUGAAAAUUCCAUCCAACGAUUCCUAUUCUUCCAAAGUUAUAUUCAAGGGUUCAAAUUGUGCCUCAUCCAAAACAAAAUAAAUGAAAACGUGUAGAAAUGAUGAACUUUGUAUGAAGUGAGUGACGUGCAGGAAGGAGAAGGGAAAUAGCGGACCAUCGGUGACCAAAUGGGUGAGCUCGGGUAAGGUUUGGGUUGGGUUUGGUGGCAGAAGGUGUGGGAGAGAAGAGGGGUGGCGGCUGGUCUUGUUUGGGGAUUUAGGGUUAGGGUUUUGGGAAAUAAGGUUUUUAUAUGGGGUAUUUAAGAAAUAUGGACCAUUGGAUCAAAGUUAAUAGAUGGCUAGGAUUUGAGGGAAAGAUUGGGGCGGGUCAGCAGGUGGGUUGGCGGGUCUGGGGUGUUGUUGGGCUCAAAUUUUGCCCAAUUUGGUCUUUUUUAAGACAAGGCUAGCCCAAACAUCCACUCUUCUUUUCUUUUCUUUCAUUUUCGUUUUUUCAUCAUUUUUUAAAGCAAAAGAAUAACAAAAUACUAUUUAAUUUUAACUAAACCAAAUCUAUAUUAAAAGUGGAAUUAUAUUUAUAUUUUGUUUUUGUAUUUUCUGAAGAUUAUGUUAAAGUAAAAAUAGAAAAGGAUAGUAAACUUAGACUAUUGUCAUUAUAAGAAAGAUUAGUGAUAUUCAAUUGUAUUAAAACAUAAAAAUAUUUGUAUAACAUGAGAAAUAUUACGAAAGUUAAAAUAUUUUUGUGUUUUCAAAUUUAUGUUCUCUAAAAUUAGAAUUAUAAUUAAUAAUAGAGUAAAGUACUAUAGAAUUAAACUCAAAUAAAUAUCCUAAAAAUGCUAGAACUAUUAAAAGUAAUUAUAAUGCGUAAGUCAAAAAUUACAUGUCUACAGCUACCCCUCUUUGACGGAAAACACAAGGUGUGUUAAGACAAAGAAUAACAAGAUACGAUUUUUGACUUGACCCUUAUUUAGAGAGAUAAUACCCAGAGAAAGAAAAUGUGGCCGAGCCCUGGUCUCGGAGCUGCCUACAUAUCCUUGGCUAUAAAGGAAUCAGGCCACAUUUAGUUCAAAGUGAGAAGAGCGAUGGAGUACCGAGGUGGAGACUCGAGUCGAGUUCCGUCGAGGUUCCAGUUCUCGGUUCCUGCCAUUACAUCAAAAUAAAAUGGAAAAAUUACAGCAAAAUUAAAAGAAAAAUACAAGAUCCUAUCUAUUUCCCUGUCUUGAAACAUCAUUGAAUCUCUACUUGAAAUUCAAAAUGCAACGGAAAAAUGGACCCUGCUCUUCAAGCGGGCUCCUGAUGCUUCUUGAAUUUAUGAGUUGAAGUAACUCUGAAAUUAACUCCCUCGUUCUCCAGGUGGGCGCCUGUUUGCUAAAACUUAAAAUGUAUUCCCUUGUUAUCCAGGUGGGCGCCUGAUUGCAAAAACUUGAAAUGUAUUCCCUUGUAAUCCAGGUGGGUGCCUGAUUGCAAAAACUUGAAAUGUAUUCCCUCGUUAUCCAGGUGGGCGCCUGAUUGCCAAAACAUGAAAUGUAUUCCCUNNNNNNNNNNNNNNNNNNNNNNNNNNNNNNNNNNNNNNNNNNNNNNNNNNNNNNNNNNNNNNNNNNNNNNNNNNNNNNNNNNNNNNNNNNNNNNNNNNNNNNNNNNNNNNNNNNNNNNNNNNNNNNNNNNNNNNNNNNNNNNNNNNNNNNNNNNNNNNNNNNNNNNNNNNNNNNNNNNNNNNNNNNNNNNNNNNNNNNNNNNNNNNNNNNNNNNNNNNNNNNNNNNNNNNNNNNNNNNNNNNNNNNNNNNNNNNNNNNNNNNNNNNNNNNNNNNNNNNNNNNNNNNNNNNNNNNNNNNNNNNNNNNNNNNNNNNNNNNNNNNNNNNNNNNNNNNNNNNNNNNNNNNNNNNNNNNNNNNNNNNNNNNNGCGCCUGAUUGCCAAAACAUGAAAUGGAUUCCCUCGUUAUCCAGGUGGGCGCAUGAUUGCAACAACUUAAAUUUAUUCCCUCGUUAUCCAGGUGGGCGCCUGAUUGCUAAAACAUGAAAUGUAUUCCCUCUUUAUCCAGGUGGGCGCCUGAUUUCAAAGACUUGAAAUGUAUUCCCUCGUUAUUCAGGUGGGCGCCUGAUUGCCAAAACAUGAAAUGUAUUCCCUCGUUAUCCAGGUGGGCGCCUAAUUGCUAAAACAUGAAAUGUAUUCCCUCGUUAUCCAGGUGGGAUCCUGAUUGCAAAGACUUGAAAUGUAUUCCCUCGUUAUCCAGUUGGGCGGCUGAUUGCAGAAACUUGAAAUGUAUUCCCUCGUUAUCCAGAUGGGUGCCUGAUUGCAACACUUGAAAUGUCUUCCCUCGUUAUCCAGGUGGGCACCUGAUUGCAAAAACUUGAAAUGUAUUCCCUCAUUAUCCAGGUGGGCGCCUGAUUUGAAAUGUAUUCCCUCAUUAUCCAAGUGGGUGCCUAAUUGUAAAACUUCAAAUGUAUUCCCUGAUUAUCCAGGUGGGCGCUUGAUUGCAAAACUUGAAAUGUAUUCCCUCGUUAUCCAGGUGGGUGCCUGAUUGCAAAAACUUGAAAUGUAUUCCCUCAUUAUCCAGGUGGGCGCCUGAUUGCAAAACUUGAAAUAUAUUCCCUCAUUAUCCAGGUGGGUGCCUGAUUGCAAAAAUAUGAAAUAUAUUCCCUCUUUAUCAAGGUGCGCGCUUGAUUCCAACAACUUAAAAUGUAUUCCCCGUUAUCCAGAUGGGCGCCUGAUUGAAAAUUUUUUAGAUGUAUUCCCUCGUUAUCCUGGUGGGCACCUGAUUGCAAAGCUUGAAAUAUAUUCCCUCGUUAUCCAGGUGGGCGCUUGAGACUGCAACAAAACAGACAAAACAAAAGAAACUUUUUCUGCACCAGUUUGGGGUUUGCGCAUAUUUGUGAGUGUUAAUCGGAUCAUAUCACCUACAGAACUCUAAGAAUUAAAAACCUAAAUCCCAUUAUCCAGGAGGGUCCUGAGAAUUUGAAAAACCUAAAUCCCAUUAUCCAGGAGGGUUCUGAGAAUUUUAAAAACUGAAUCUCAUUAUCCAUGAGGGUCCUGAGAAUUUUAAAGCUAAAUCCCAUUAUCCAGGAGGGUCCUGAGAAUUUUAAAAACUAAAUCCUAUUAUCCAGGAGGGUCCUAAAAAUUUUAAAAACUAAAUCCCAUUAUCCGGGAGGGUCCUGAAAAUUUUGAAAUUAAAUCCCAUUAUCCAGGAGGGUCCUGAGAACUGAGAGUGAACUUACCUAAGCCACGCUCUCAUCUUGGAGGAUUCUGAACAGAAUUUCUUGCUCCACUGCUUCAGACAAAUAAAAUCUUGUUAGUUUGAAAACGUGGUGGUUAGUUUGCUGCAUCAUUGUUGAGCGUCUACUUCCGCCACUGCCAUGCUUCAUUUUGAUUAGCUGCUUCGGGCUAGUAAGGAAUUGUUUGAUCUUUUGGCUGAGACUAGACCAUGAAACCUCUGCAUGACCUGAGUCCCUCACACUCACUUGUUGCAUUGUAUUUUUAUUUUUAUUUAGAAAGUUGCUGAAUCCUUGUAUUUCCUCAGAAUUCAAGAUUCACUUGAUUUCCUGAACCUUAGUUAUCACCAUAUUGCUUAUUCUAAAUCAUGUCAGUUUUGAUGUGCCUGGCCAGAAUCUCUUUGUGCAACUUAGAAGCUGGUAGUAGGCUUUGAAAUCCUUUCCUGCUUGUUUAACAAGGCUAACUAGGAAGAAACUCGUAAAGAUAGACUCAAGGAGUAAAAUGAAAUGAUUUUUAAUAAAAGGAACAAAUGAGAAUUUGCAACACAGAUUAUUAUGUGAAGAAGAAUGAGAAAGAGAUGAUUUAUCUUAGGGAAGUAGCCAGCUCCAAUGAUCAUCCCAUGCAUUCCAGACUGAUCAGCCUAAUCCGUCCAACCAAUCAUAUUUUUAGUUCAUGCCAUGUCUUCAUACUUCAAAACCGGGCUUUCACUGAUCCAAUUUCUCUUGUAAAGUUAUGAGCCUCAUUCGACGUGUAGUGCCCUAAAAGGGUUUUCACCAACAAGCCUCUCUCAUUUGUUCAUCUCUCAUCUCACCAUCGCCUUAUGGUGCCCGGGAGGGUUUUCACCAAUAAGACUCUCUCAUUUUAAAUUUUCUCUCUUGCACCCACGAACAAAGUGUUACCUAUGAUGCAAAUCAUACCUCUGUCCUGCUUGACCCGACAUCCUCAAAGAUUAAUCGGAAGGUCUUUCUUGGGACCGUAAUGUAGGCUUUUCGACGGGGUUAGAAAGAACGGGUAGCAUGAAGGCUCAAAAUAAAAUAAGAUGAAAAGGGUUUAAAAUUACAACUUUUGGAAUUAGAUCUUUACGAAACCAAAACUUCCGCCCCAUUUUCUUUGGGUCUGGGGAAUUUUAAUUUUUAUUGUGAUGGGACCAAACCGCAAGACUGCUUAUGUAUCCUUAAAAGGAAUCAGGUCGAACGUAGUUCAAACGAAAGUUGUUCGUUCUUGUUGCUCUUUUUUCUUUUCUUUUAUCUCUUUUUUGCUUCUCUUUUUUCUUCUCUCUUUUUUUUCUUUUUUUUUUCUUUUUUUUUUUUGAUUUUCUUCUUUUCUCUUUUUUUUCUUUUUUCAUUUUUCUUAUUUUCACUCAUUCAUCAUCACCUUUAUUCUUUACUUCUGUUGUUGAUUCCAAAAGAGUGGUAUGACAGAAAAUAAAUAAGGAUAAAAAAGGUAGCAAAGGAUGAAAGUGUUUAGGUAGCUGAAUAAAAUGCCUUCGUCAUUUAAACUUUGAAUAUGCCAAGUCCAAAAUACAACUGAAGGUAAGCAAGAAAAUCAUACAUAGUACCUCUUAACUGCAUCAGAAUUGAUGGCCAUAUCUGCACAUUUUCCUUCUAUGUAUGUUAAAUACAAAGCACCAUUGGGCAACACUCUUGUCACAACGAAUGGCUCCUGCCAGUUCGGGGCAAACUUUCCUUUAGCUUCAGGCUAAUGAGGAAGGAUACGUUUCAAUACCAUCUCGCCCACUUCAAAUUUCUGAGGACGCACCUUUUGUUAUAUGCUCUUGCCAUUCUCUUCUGAUACAAUUGACCAUGACACACUGCUGCCAAUCUUUUCUCAUCAAUCAAACUCAACUGCUCGAGCCGGGUUUUAACCCACUCAUCGUCAUCAAUUUCAGCUUCUGCAACGAUCCAAAAGGAAGGAAUCUCAACUUUCGCAGGUAUAACUACCUCAUUUCCAUAUACCAGUAAAUAAGGAGUCACACCUACUGAAGUUAGCUUCUGCAACGAUCCAAAGAGAAGGAAUCUCAACUUCCGCUGGUAUAACUGCCUCAGUUCCAUAUACCAGCAGAUAAGGAGUUGCACCUACUUAAGUGCGAACAGUAGUGUGAUAACCUAGUAAUGGAAAAGGCAACUUUUCAUGCCACUUCCUAGAACCUUGAACCAUCUUGCAAAGUAUCUUCUUUAUGUUCUUAUUGGAGGCCUCAACAGCUCUAUUUUCCUUGGAGCGAUACGGGGUGGAGUUCCGAUGCAUGAUUUGAAUUGUUGGCAUACCUCUUUCAUCAAAUGACUGUUGAAAUUAGCAGCAUUGUCUAUGAUGAUCACCCUGGGAAUUCCGAAUCGACAAAUGAUGUUUGAAUGCACAAAAUUCACCACUGCCUUCUUGGAUACGGACUUGAAAGUUACAGCUUCGACCCACUUGGUAAAGUAAUCAAUGGCCACCAGGAUGAACCUAUGCUCGUUUGAUGCUACUGGCUCAGUUGGCCCAAUAACAUCCAUGCCCCAAGCAACAAAGGGCCAAGGUGCAGACAUUGCAUGCAACUCAGACGGGGGAGAAUGAAUCAAAUCUCCGUGCACUUGGCAUUGAUGACACUUGUGAACAAAGCUAAUACAAUCUCGUUCCAUGGUGAGCCAAUAAUACCUGCUCGAAGUAUCUUCUUUGCCAAGACAUACCCGUUCAUAUGCGGCCUGCAAACUCCAGAAUGCACUUCGGUCAUGAUAGUUGAAGCUUCUUUAGCAUCUAUGCACCUCAGCAGUACUAAAUCCGGAGUCCUCUUGUACAAGAUUCCUCCACUCUAGAAAAAUCCACUGGCCAUAUGCCAUAUGGUUUUCUUUUGGUCACCUAUAGCAUGUAUUGGAUAUAUCCCCGACCUGAUGUAUUCCUUGAUAUCGUGGAACCAAAGCUCGCCAUCGAUUUCCUCUUCCACACAUUACAAUAAGCGUGUUGAUCAUAAACUUGGAUAUACAUAGGGUCAACAUAAGCUUUGUCUGGAUGAUGUAACACUGACGCCUCGGUAGGUAGGGCAUCAGCAAUCUCAUUAUGAAUCAUGGGAAUAUGUCUAAAUUCAACCGACCUGAAUCAUUGACAGAGAUAGUGGAGACACUGUCGGUACGGUAUGAGCUUUAAAUCUCGAGUCUCCCAUUCUCCUUGGAUCUGGUGAACCAACAAACCCCAAUCUCCAGAAGAAGUAUUUCCUGGAUUUCCAUGUCUACAACUAACCUCAAACCCAUAAUGCAUGCUUCGUACUCAGCCAUGUUGUUGGUGCAAUUAAAUCAAAGCUGGGAUGUUACGGGGUAGUGUUGCCUUGUUUCGGAGAUAAGUACAGCCCCUAUUCUGACCCCUUUCAUGUUAGCAGCUCCAUCAAAGAAGAGUUCCAACCUGGCUUUUCAUCGUGCUCAACCUCGUCAAAACACAUGACGUCUUCAUCAGGAAAAUAAGUCUUCAAUGGCUCAUAUUCAUCAUCCAACGGAUUCUCGGCUAGGUGGUCGGCCAAGGCUUGGGCUUUAAUCGCAGUCCUGGUCACAUAGAUGGUGUCAAACUCUGUAACUAGGAUCUGCCACUUUGCCUGUUUUCCCGUGGGCAUAGGCUUCUGAAAGAUAUACUUCAAGGGAUCCAUGCGAGAAAUGAGGUAAGUAGUGUAGGACGAGAGAUAAUGCUUUAACUUUUGUUCCACCCAAGUUAAGGCGCAACAUGUCCUCUCGAGCAGAGUGUACUUAACCUCAUAGGGAGUGAACUUCUUACUGAGAUAAUAGAUUGCUUUCUCCUUCUUCACAGUGAUAUCAUGUUGACCCAACACACAACCAAAAGAAUUAUCCAGGAUUGUCAAAUAAAGAAUUAAAGGUCUUUCAGGCUUAGGGAGUGAACUUCUUACUGAGAUAAUAAAUUGCUUGCUUCUUUUUCCUCGUGACAUCAUGUUGACCCAGCACACAACCGAAAGAAUUAUCCAGGACUAUCAAAUAGAGGAUUAAAGGUCUUCCAGGCUCUGGUGGGACAAGCACCGAUGGAUUCGACAGGUACCUCUUGAUAUUAUCAAAGGCUUCUUCACACUCGUCAGUCCACUUGACCGCAACAUUCUUCUUCAGCAACGUAAGGUUGGGCCCACAAAUUGCCGUGAGCUGAGCAAUGAACCUGCUGAUGUAAUUUAACCUUCAGAGCAAACUCAUCACCUCUUUUUUGUUCUUUGGUGGCGGCAACUAUUCGAUGGCUUUGAUAUUUGAUGAAUCUAACUCAAUACCGUGUCUACUGACCACGAAUCCCAGCAGUUUCCCAUAGGGGACACCAAAUGCACAUUUCGCCGGAUUGAGCUUGAGGUUGUACCUGCGAAGUCUUUGGAAAAACUUCUUCAAGUCCUUCACAUGGUCAGACUGCUUCUUCGACUUUAUGAUCACAUCAUCUACAUAUACCUCAAUCUCCAUAUGUAUCAUGUCAUGAAAUAUGGUGUUCAUCGCCCUCAUGUAGGUUGCCCAAUCAUUUUUCAAACCGAAUGGCAUUACCCGGUAGAUAUAUGUCCCCCAGGGCGUGGUGAACGCCGACUUUUAUGCAUCUUCCUCAUCCAUCAAAAUCUGGUGAUAUCCUGCAUAGCAAUCCACAAAAGACCCAAUCUCAUGCUUGGCACAAUUAUCGAUCAAAAUAUUAAUGUUCGGCAAGAGAAAAUCAUCCUUCGGGCUUGUUUUGUUAAGAUCACGGUAAUAAACACAGACCCUGGUCUUACCAUCCUUCUUCGGUACUGUCACAACAUUUUCUAACCAAUUAGGAUAUCGAGUGACCCGGAUGACCUUCGCAGUAAGCAGCUUUGUGAUUUCUUCCUUGAUCUUCACACUCAUAUCGGUAUUCAACUUUCACAACUUUUGCUUGACAGGAAGGCAUGCUGGGUCAGUCGGCAAUUUAUGAACUACUAGAUCAGUGCUCAGGCCCGGCAUAUCAUCAUAUGACCACACAAAAAAAUCUUUGUACUCAACCAAUGUUCUGAUUAUUUCCUCCUUAACUUGCGGUUCUAAAUGCACACUUAUCUUGGUUUCCCUAACAUCAUCUUGAUCCCCUAGGUUGAUUACUUCAGUUUCACUCAAGUUAGGCUUUGGUUUUUCCUCAAAUUGUUUUAGUUCUUUACUGAUUUCCUCAAAUGCUGCUUCUUCAUCAUAUUCUAUUUCAUCAUCACAUUCUACUUCUUGGAUUGUUAUUUCAGAAUUAGAUUAGCUUUUAAGACUCAGCUGAAAAUUCUUCAUGCAUAUCAUGUCAUUGCAACCAGCAUAUAAAGAACUGUACAAAGAAGAAAAAGAACAAUAUAAACACUAUUAAGAAUAACGAAAAAUGAGAAACCUUUUAAGACUCGACUGAAAAUUCUUCAUGCAUGUCAUGUCAUCGCAACCAGCAUAAAAACUGUACAAAAUAAGAAAAAGAACAAAAUAAACACUACUAAGAAUAACGAAAAACGAGAAAUUGCAUUUCAUUGAAAACAAAAGGGAUAGAAGGGUUUGGAUGUCAAAACAAGAAAAAACUAAAAGUAUGGAUUACAACCCUGGAAUAAACUAGAUAAAAGAAAGUAAAACAAAGCAACUACCACCUAGUGGGGAGAGGAGUAGCUUCCCAAUUUCUAAGCUUCACAUUUGAGCCAACGAGCUGCACAUCUGCUUUACUAGAGCCUUCACCAUUUUCUACCAUGUUGACCUCUUCGAACAUACUUUCGAACCUCUUGAUCAGCUCUUCAUCAACAUCGACCGCGGGUUUUGGAAUUAAGGAUGUUGGAUUUUUUUCAGCUCCUGGCUUGACAAAAGACUUAGAGAUGUGUGGGAUGGGCUUGGGGAGUGUCGUGCCUCAUGUUUCAGAUUUUUAACCCUUUUCACGCCCGUUUCUGUGGGCCUGAAUCCUAAACCAAACGUUCCGGGAUUCCCAUUGGGGCGCACUGGAUGUGUAAUACCUUGUAGAGAUGAGCCCAUACCCUUGCCCGGCAUAAAACCAUUCUUCAACAGUUCGUUCGCAACCAUGACAGACGCGGAGGAUAAUUUAUGACCCCGAAUGCAUUCUCCUUCAGGAAUCUUCUCAACAGACAUUGUUCCAAAAGUUUGAUAGACCCAAGGUCCCUUAUCAUCUUCAGCUUCGAUAAACGGAACAAUUAUGUCAUUACAAACUGACAAGUCCUCAUCACCAUGCACAACUAUUUCUUGCCUGUCCCAUUCAAACUUUACCAUUUGGUGCAAAGAAGAAGGGACUACCUUAGCAUCAUGUAUCCAGGGUCUUCCUAGCAACAUAUUAUAGGAGACAACCACAUCGACAACUUGAAACUCCAUGGUAAAGUCGACAGGCCCUAUCGACAAUUCGAGCAUUAUGUCUCCAACAGCAUCUUUACCUCCCCCAUCAAAGCCUCGAACACACAGUUUGAAUGGAUUCUUUCGGUGCCAGUCUUCAGUUUCUGUAGAGUAGAUAAGGGACAAAUAUUCACACUUGAGCCAUUAUCAACAAAGACUCUUGAGACAACAGAAUCUCCGUACUUCACCAUGAGAUACAGACCUCGAUUGUGUUCUGUACCUCCAAGGGAAGUUCAUUAUCUGAGAAAGUAAUCCUAUUUGCUUCGAAGAUCUUGCCAGCUAUCUUUUCCAAAUAGUUCACUAUGAUCUUAUCAGGAACAUGUGCCUCAUUCAAAAUCUUCAUCAAAACCCUGCGAUGUUCAUCUGAAUGUAUCAGCAAAGACAAUAGAGAGAUCUGAGCUGGUGUAUUCCUUAGCUACUCUAUAAUGGAAUAUUCCGGCACUUUCAUCUUUUUAAAGAAUUCUUCAGCCUCUUCCUCUGUGACUGAUUUCUUUACUGGCAUUUGGAUAUCUUUGGACAUCUUGGCUUUUCUUAGUUCUUCUAGGGUGAAACAGCUCCCAUAUCGAGUCAAUCCUCCAAUUUCAUUAACUUCUUCCUCUAUUUCAUUUCCUUUGUAUGUUACUAUCAUUCGUUUUUAAUUCCACAGAACAGUCUUAGCAUCAACCAUUGGCAGCUGGGUCACUGGUUUAAUGAUGAUAGGGGUGAUAAGAGCCCCUUUCACAACUAUGACAGGCUUACUUGGAAUCCCUCGUACCACCACUUUUGAAAUUUCUGAACUUGCCCCAAUAUUUUUCGACAGCCCUUUCACGAACAACACUGGUGGCUUCGAGCUCGGCUUUUCUGUCACCUUUUCAACUAUCGAGGGCACUGCCUUGGUAAAGUCUUGAGCUUUAACCGAAUUUUUUUACUAGCCCGGAUUAUCAUGACGGACUUAGAAGACUUCUUGGGCUCCCCAUCCUUGUGAACUAUUUCAAUCAUACGCGUCUCCUCAUGGGAUGGCAAAGGGUUUUGAUUGAUGUUCGGCGCAUCUGGGCUUUGGACUACAAUUUUGUUUGUGUCAAUGAGUUCCUGGAUUGCUCGUUUCAAAUGCCAACACUUCUUUAUGUCAUGACUUGGAGCAUCAGAACAAUAGUAUCAUCUUAGGGAAUGAUCGAGAUUCUUUGGAGGGGGAUUAGGUAUCUUUGACUCAAUUGUCCACAAGACGUCCAACUGCUAACCUUUGAAACAUACUAGCAUAGGACUCUCAAAGCGGAGUAAAAGUUUGUUUUCGCUGCUGCCUUUCACUCAUAUACUCUGGCCUUGAUCGAAAGUUUGGACCAGUGGGGUAUUGGUAGGGUUAUGGAGGCGGAUAGGUAUUUUGUGGAGCCGGAUAGGUGGUCUGCGGAGCUGGAGCAUGCCAUUGCAGGUAAGGAGAGGGUUGAGCAUAUGACUGUGCAUGGUGAACAAAGUAUUGGGAUGGCCUGGCUGAGUAUUGGGGGUUUUGUGGGGUAAAGUAAUGUUGAGGUGGAUUAUAUGGAGCUUGGGUGUAGGUUUGAGGUCGAGGUUGAGGAUGGGUGUAUUGAUGAGGUGGACCGCUCGGGCCACGCCAUGAUCCGGAGACAACCAUAGCGAUAUCUUCCUUCUUUUUCUUGCCAAGAAAACUUCCGGUACCACUCUGGAUUGCCUGGGUGGUUGCUUUUAUAGCGGAAUAGCUCAUGAUCUUACUCGACUUGGGCCCUUCUUCCACCAUCUCUCCCAUCUUUAAUACAUCAUUGAAAGACUUACCAGUGGAUGAGAUCAAAUGGCCAUAGUAAGUGGGAUCCAGGGCUCGAAGAAAGUAUUUGUCCAUCUCGUCUUCAUCCAUAGGAGGAUUGACUCGUGCAACCUGCUCUCUCCAUCGAAACCCAUAUUCUCUAAAGCUUUCCCCGGGUUUGUUUGCCAAGUUGGUCAGAGAUAGGCGAUCUGGAACAAUGUCUAUAUUGUACUGAAAUUGCCGAGCAAAGGCCUGAGCCAUAUCAUCCCGAGUAUGCCAUCUACUAGCGUCCUGGCGUGUGUACCAUUCUAAAGCUGCCCCACUCAGACUUUGCCUGAAGUACGCCAUGAGCAAUUCGUCUUUUCCGCCGGCAACUCUCAUUUUGCUGCAAUAACCCCGCAGAUGAGCUACAUGUUCCCCAUGUCCGUCAUACAAGUCAAACUUGGGCAUCUUAACACCGGCAAGCAGUUGGACAUCGGGGAACAAACAUAAAUCCUUAUAGGCUACACUCACUUAGUUACCCAACCGUUGCAUAUUUCUCAAUGAUUGCUCCAAACUUACCUUCCUAAACAUCUCUUCUUGCUCUGCAUUCUUAGGUGGUUUGUCAGUUUCAACAUGAGGCUCAAAUUGAGGAGUGUAAGGGUAAGGAUCUGGGACUUUGAAACUGGGCUCUGGUGCAUAGUAGUGAGUAUCUGGAGCGGGGAAUGCGGGCUCACUAGAGGAUCGAUGGAGGGUGGCUUGUGGAGGGGGUACCAAAAUAGGAGCAGAUGUCGGAGCAGGGUAUGAGGCUGUUUUGGCUGGUAGAGCAUGGAAGGUUUGGAAGGAAGUGCGGGGGUAAUUGUGGUAAGGGGUAAAGCCGGGAGCGUGUUGUGGGGAAAAAUCAAUGGUAUUGGUCAUCUGAGAUUGAGAGAGUGGUGUAAUGGAAGCAUGGUUUUUUAUGUAGUUGGUAGGGAAGGAGGGUGGUAGGUGUCCCUUAAUCAUGGCUUGGUACAUUUCUGCCAUCUGACGCUUCAUCCUCCGGACCUUCUCUUGCAAUUCUGAUGCCGACUCAGCAAUGUCCCUUGGUGGGUCUAUAACUUUAGGGAAGGAGGGUGGAAGGUGUCCCUUAAUCAUGGUUUGGUACAUUUCUACCAAUUGACGCUUCAACCUCUGGACCUCCUCUUGCAAUUCUGAUUCCGACUCAACAAUCUCCCUUGGUGGGUCUACAACUCCAGUGUUUGUUUCCUUGCUAGCCAUAUUGUUUGACGUUACAAACUAACCACCUUCCUGAAAAUUAAACAAAGGUAACAAGGGGCAACAACACAAAACCACCAUGUUAGCGUUAGCGCAUUUAUCAUAUGAUAAUAUCACAUUACGUGCAAUGCACCUAGCAACAAUUAACUGUUCUAAAAUGGCUUUGGGGGUCGCAGGGUCAUAUGGCAUCAUCCCAAUUUGCCUAUUUCAAUCUUUCCUUCUCUUUUUUCUCCAACACCUCUUAUCACUCCUUUCUUUUUUUUCUUUAUUUUAUUUUAUGCAAAAAUAAUUUGACUAUGCAAAAAUAAUUUGAUCGAACCCGAUAUAGAUUGCCUACGUAUCAUGCCCCUGAUGAAUCAGACCAAGCGUAGUUCUGGAAAAAUGACUAAAACGAAUAAACUAAAAUAAAUUUUUUUGGGAUUUUAAUAUUAAAAUACAAAAGGAAGUAGGAUAAUGAAAGACAUGACAGACACGACUAUACUAUGACAGACUCUGAUACUACCUAAAGGACUUAGUACUCCUGGACAAGACAAUAUAAGACAAACUCAAAAUAUCUAAAUAGCAUAACUCCUCAAGCUGCCCCUGAUUGCGACGGUCCUAACUGGGAUGGUCCUAGGUUGUCCGUCAUGCUCAAACUCUGCAACAUGCCUCGUAAAGAGAUACUGAUGCUAGGAACAAGGACCCUGGCGUGCUCCCCCGCAUCUUGACGGCUGACCCUAAACAAAUACUGGCUAUGCUGCUCCACAUUUGCUGCCAAUCCCGAUAACUGAGACUUUAUCAACUCAAGCUUAUCCCAAAGAUCUUGGUCUGAUGCCUCCUCAACAUCAUCUGUCUGAGCUGCCCGCUCCCUAAGUUAUGCCGGCAAUGGAGUGUUGACCCCCAGUGGGACGGACUGUAACCAGAUCAGGUACUCCUGAUUACACUCGGGCCUACCAAUGUCCUUUAUCAAUGUCUUGUUCCUAAACCUCUUUGCAUUUUUCCAGUAUCGCACAUAUUUGAUUUCGUCAGUUGCUGUCUUGCUAAAGUUCAUGACAUGCCUCCAAAGAUUCAAAGUUGGAGGUUCCUUUUGUCUUUUGCCCAACUGCCGCAUUACCCUAAUGGGAAUGUAUGGCCUGACACACUUGAGUCCUAUCAGUAUCAAGAAAGGCUGCAUGAGACAUCCCACCAAGAUCUCAUCUAAGAGUAGCCAAAGGUAGGCCAACAAAACAUUCCCAUUUGUCCUCAAACCAAGGAACUCAAUCCAAGCUGUGACACUUACUAGGUAGAUCAACUUAGGAGAUUUCAUCCUAAGCUAGAUGCAUACCACCCGAUCCCUCAAGGCACGGUCGGUGGGACAAAGCAGGGAAGCGGUGUGCAAAUGCUCCAUCAUCCACAAUUGUAGCAAAAGGUUACUUCCCUACAAAUACCUGACACCUCCCCUAACCUCACUCAGGGCUCUGUACAACUCUGCUAAGAUCAUCAGUACAACGGUAAUGGUUUUAUGUUGCUUCUCAUGAAAUAGUGCCAUUACCACUGACUGCAGGGGGUGCUAAUGUGCCUCUCAUCUAAUGGAAAAUCCAACAAUCCCAACAAAGCAAGGCUGAAAGCCUCAAGGUGGCGUAUUUGCCAUUUUUCCUUGGUUGUGCAGAACUCAUCCCAAAAGACGUCGAAACUAUCCCGUGGUCCAAAUAUAGCAAACAAAUAAUCCAAAGAUAUCCAGGACUGCUCGAGGCAUUUUAAACGCUUGUUAUCUUUCAGACCCAGGUCACUGAGGAAUCUUGUCCUAGAGUGGUCUCGGGGAAGUAUCAUGUCCCUACCUAUAUAGCUUAAACGAGUGAGACCAGACAUUUCCGCCAAGGUAGGAGUCAUCUCACACUCUCCAAAUUUAAUAGUCAAAUUUUGCUUAUUCCAAUAAGUCAGCAUCGCCUCCACUAAGUUUGGGCGAGGUGUGAUAUCAAAAAGGGAAGUGAGGAAAAUUUAAAAGUCAAAUUUUGCGGAUCCCAAUAAGUCAGCAUUGCCUCCACUAAGUCUGGGCGGGGUGUUAUAUCAAGAAGGGAAGUGAGGUGCCCAAUUUAUGCAUUAACUCAUGCUGCUCUAAUGCUGAAAAUAUUUUCCACCACUUGAUCAAUUUCUUAGGAAUCUUUACUACCAUCAACACUUUGGAUCGAAUUAGCGGGCUCCAUACCUGAAUGAAAAGAGCAUGGUUAGCAACUCGUGACACUACAUGACACCACAACAUCUCCUAGCGGACAGAUGCAAGAACAUGAUUUGGCUAUAUUUUGCAAAAUAAUUUAAAUGGUUGUUAGUGCAAACAUGACAAUGAUGACCUCCUAAUGCGUGAACAAUACUUCAUAGAGAAAUUACAUUAUUAUCACAUCCCAAAAAUCGUGACCCUAAAAAAUUACCUUGCAGAAAUGACCCAUUUUUAUAGAAAUGACCGAUAUGGCCUGAAAUGGCUAAAGACGCAAACUCAAAAAGGAACGACCUUAAAUUGCAAUGACACCUAGUUGUGGACUCAAAAUUAUAAGUCAUGAGUUAUUGAACCACUUUUGCGAAAAUAAUCCUAUUUUGCAAGAAUGGCCGAUGUGGCCACAAGUGGCUAGACAUGUAAAAUUUAGCUAAGACCCCGCAAAGCCAAGAACCUAAGAUUAUAGGAAGACCGGAUCCUAUGUGGGUUGCCUACGUAUCUCGCCCCGGGAGACGAAAAUCAGGUUCGCGUAGUUCGGGAAAAUUAAAUAUAGGAUGAGAUUCAAAAAAUACAUCUAAUUUGAAAAAACUAUUUUUGUCUUUUUGAGAAAAAAUAAUGGAAAAUACAACAUCUUUUUGAUGUUCUUUUUCUCUUUUUUUUUUGAAUUUUUGGAAAUGACGGGAAAAUGUAAAAUCUUUUUUUUUUGGACUUUUUGGAAAAUAAUGAGAAAGUGUAAAAUCUUUUUUUAUAUUUUUAUUUUCUACCUUUUUUGUAUUUUUGAAAAAUAAUGAAAGAGCGUAAAAUCUUUUUGGAUUUUUCAUUUUCUACUUUUUUUUUGAAUUUUGGAAAACCAUGAAAGAAAAAUGCGGGUGGGCCCUACUUUCUUCAAUUUUCACCCUUCUUUCCAAACAUUGAUCCGCCAAAUGACCUUUUUACCCUCAAAGAUGCAACAUUUAGCACAUAAGAUGAUUCAGCGUCAUUUUGGGCCACGGGCCCAUUUUGACAAAAUUUGGACAGGCUCCCUACAAAGGGACACGACACCUGGGACCGAGCCCUACUAGGUGUAAAUGACAUGAUGCAAAUAAAAUGACCUAAGGCUGACCUAAGUUUGGGGUUCACUAACAAGGCAAUUCGGGGGAGCGUAUGGUCGAUAGUGGCUGCUUAAACUUUCCACCCACUCCAUACGUCCGACCCCUCCCCCUCCUAAAUUAAGGGUGACUCAACAAAGAGUUCGUGCAUGCGAUGACUGCUCCGAGACUUGUUGCAGAAAGAAUUGACCGGGUAAUGCAUAUAAUGACAGUUAUAAAGCAGUAAACACAUAAAACAAAACUAUAAACACAUAAACAACUAGCAAAUGACAAAACAUAUAACAUAAUAAAAUUGAGCAAAGAUAAAUAAAUAAAACAAAAAUAAAAAAAACAUAAGAAAGCUCAACCAAAUAUGCUAAAAGCCAACAAAAUCGAGUACUAGCUCGAACCCGCGAGCCUCGCCUGCAGAGUCGCCAGGGAUAUCACACCCCUUAUUUUUUAAAACCAACUCUUACUUAAAUCCUCUUUAAUAAAUAAAAAGAUCUUAAUAAAAUCUUGCAAAGGAUUUUCAAUUUUGAAAGUGACAAAAUGGGAUUCAAAAAGAAAAUAACUUCAGAGUCGCCACCUGACAUUUGGAUUUCGCUGUGUCAAGUCACCGUUCUUCUAGAAAUAAUAAUUUUUCUUUCAAAACAAUUUGAACUCUAAAACUAAGUCUACACCAGAUAUAUGGGUAAGGGGGCUUAUUUUACUCGGGGAGAAGGUGUUAGGAACUCCUAAAGUCCCAUGAAGGUCACGGUUGCGUACUCGAUCAAGUUGGCUUUUAAGAUAUUCAAAUUGAGGUAACAACACGCUAAAAAAAGCAAAUAAUCAAAAAGUCUCGAGGUCGUCCCCACCUAAAUGAAAGAAAAUGAGAAGGAAAAGGAAAAGAAAAAUUCUACGCUAACCUAUACUACGACUUCUCCACCGUGUUCGUCAAGACCUCCAAAAUACUUACAUAGUUCUUCGGGGCAUACCACGGAUAAUAAUAUUACAAACUUCACGGGGAAUUCCCAGGAUAAAUUCAAAUAAGGGACAACCUCUUGCCUUUAAACUAACAAAAAUCCUAAAGCUUGCCUACCCGGGUGUUGUCGGCCUAAAGAAUGGUCCUAGCGGAUAAUGUAAUAAAAGAACAAGAAAAAGAGCUGGGAGAGAUGAGUUAACAGUACGCUAUCUUUCUUUAAAAUUCCUAAUUUACUACGUUAUCCCACGACCCCCCCACAAAACAGACAUCAAAAUGACCCACUCCAGUUAUCUACACACACACAGAGUAGGGAUUAACGUAGAAGGUUUAUAGGAGAGGAGGAAAAAUGUAGCAUUUGACAAAACAGAAAUACCAACCAAGUCCAGAAAUGACAAAUCAAAACAUAAUAAGAGCUGUUUAAAGUCUAUCUAACCAUUCCCAUUAAACUUAUUCUUAAUCCCAUACCAGUAAAAUAUUGAAACUCACUUCGAAUCCCAAAAAUGAUCUCAAGAUUAGCCGUAAGGACGUACGCUCAAAUAAGGAACCUACACAUUCCAAAUAACUCUAAGGACUUCUAAGGAUUUCUAGGCUGCUAUGUCACCUUCUCGACAUACUAUAAAAGUCCCUGAAAUCUCCUACUCGACCCAUUUCCUUACGAAAAUCCACAAAGAUAUCAUAUGAAAGGAUCGUAGUAUCACAAAUAGUUUCAAAUCUUCAUGAAGGAGUAAGUCUGAUUGCAUGAAUGGAAGACAUGAAUUUAACAAUUAGAAUACGCACAAACCACACCCACGCAUAGGAAACUGAAUUCGAACGGAUGUAAUCAGAUUCAGCUAUGUAUUGAACGUUUUUAAACAUUGAGCUUCCUUUCACAUGUCGCAACACCAUGAGAUUAAAACAACUAGUGUUCAUGUCGGGUACAAAAAUAAAAUUUAUUCUCACAGUUCAUCAUCUAAGAUUUCGUUCAAAAGGUCUUAUUUCAAUCACCUCACUCUGUCUAACCACAUUGGCCAUGAGAAUGUAAUUCGUUUAGUACCUAACUUAGUUACCAGAUUAUCCUAAGUAAUGGCUUGUUAAUGUUAUUAAGCUGAUGAUUCAACCUCUGAACUUUGGAUAAUGAAGAGUAUGACUAAACCUCAAUGCACCAAGGACCCAAUUCAAGACUCUCGACACGGGCAACACUGUGAAGAAGUUCCUUCAAAUAGUUACACUCCUUCUCCAAGUCGUGAUUCCCAAAUUCAUCAGAGCGCAUAUUCAAACACGAUCCAUUUUAAAACUAAUCGUCAAGAAUAUAUGAACUAGUGAACAGCCCACAUAUCAUGAAUACAACAUUUAUGGCUAUUAUCAUAUCUUCAUUCACAACAAACAGAUUAAAAGAUCUAGAAACGAACAUGAACAAGCGGUAACUUUAAUUAAAUCUCGAAAUGAGUACAAGCUGAAGUCGAGCGAUGAACUUAACAGGGACAGAAUGGAAUGUCGACGAAUGAAUCCGGAACCACGAACUCGAAACAAUGACGGCAAACAGAACUUCAAAUGAGCACCACCUCGAUCAAACUCCAAAGUAGAAUCCCAAAUCCGAUUUUUUUCUGAUUUUCGAACUGAAACAGAAUCUCCAACAAAAUGAAACUCAAGACUGUUUUUGUAUUUUUUCCUUUCAAAUUUUUGAAGCAGCGAGGAAAACAAAAACGCUAAUGAUUCUUUUUGUUUUUAUUUUUCGUCGUGUAUCUGGAAACAAGAAAAUGAAGAUGAAAAAAUCUGAUGAAAACCUCAAGAACCCUAGUUUUUUUUUUUCGAAAAAUCCAACCCCUAACUUCUGCCCCAAAAACCUUCGUCUCCAAAAACCUCUCAAAUAUAUAUCACACCCUAGAAGCUUCUUCCCUCUUCUCCAAAAAAUUCCUGAACCGUGUGGACGCCAACAAUCAAAAAUCUGAAAAUCAUUUUCACAAAUAAAAAAUCGGGAAAAAUGGAGAUUUUUUGACGAAAAUCCAUCCAACUAUUCCCAUUCUUCCCAAGUUUAUUCAAGGGUUCAAAUUUUGCCCCAUCCAAAACAAAAUAAAUGAAGAAACGCGUAGAAAUGAUGAACUUUGUACGAAGUGAGUGACAUGGAGGAAGGAGAAGGGAGGAGAGGGGACCAUUGGUGACCAAACAGGUGAACUAGGGUAAGGAUUGGGUUGGGUUUGGUGGCAGAAGGUGUGGGAGAGAAAAGGGGUGGCGGCUGGUCUUGUUUGGGGAUUUAGGGUUAGAGUUUUGGGAAAUAAG